Molecule: ribosomal RNA, 433 nt
Filed under: uncultured bacterium
Lineage: Bacteria
Description: partial 16S ribosomal RNA
Rfam family: Bacterial small subunit ribosomal RNA
Source: RNAcentral
AACGAACGCUGGCGGCAUGCCUAACACAUGCCAGUCGAACGAGACCUUCGGGUCUAGUGGCGCACGGGUGCGUAACGCAUGGGAACCUGCCCUUAGGUUCGGAAUAACUCCCCGAAAGGGGUGCUAAUACCGGAUAAUGUCUUCGGACCAAAGAUUUAUCGCCUUUGGAUGGGCCCGCGUUGGAUUAGCUAGUUGGUAGGGUAAAAGCCUACCAAGGCGACGAUCCAUAGCUGGUCUGAGAGGAUGAUCAGCCACACUGGGACUGAGACACGGCCCAGACUCCUACGGGAGGCAGCGGUGGGGAAUAUUGGACAAUGGGCGAAAGCCUGAUCCAGCAAUGCCGCGUGAGUGAUGAAGGCCUUAGGGUUGUAAAGCUCUUUUACCCGGGAUGAUAAUGACAGUACCGGGAGAAUAAGCUCCGGCUAACUCCGUG